GAUGAACGCUGGCGGCGUGCCUAAUACAUGCAAGUCGAGCGAACAGACGAGGAGCUUGCUCCUCUGACGUUAGCGGCGGACGGGUGAGUAACACGUGGAUAACCUACCUAUAAGACUGGGAUAACUUCGGGAAACCGGAGCUAAUACCGGAUAAUAUAUUGAACCUCAUUUUUCUAUAGUGAAAGACGGUUUUGCUGUCACUUAUAGAUGGAUCCGCGCCGCAUUAGCUAGUUGGUAAGGUAACGGCUUACCAAGGCGACGAUGCGUAGCCGACCUGAGAGGGGGAUCGGCCACACUGGAACUGAGACACGGUCCAGACUCCUACGGGAGGCAGCAGUAGGGAAUCUUGCGAAAUGGGCGAAAGCAUGACGGAGCAACGGCGCGGGAGUGAUGAAGGUCUUCGGAUCGUAAAACGAUGUUAAGAGGAAAGAACAAAUGUGUAAGUAACUAUGAACGGCUCGACGGUACAUAAUAAGAAAGCAACGGCUAACUACGU
RNAcentral lists this ribosomal RNA (496 nucleotides) under uncultured bacterium. RNAcentral's name for it is "partial 16S ribosomal RNA". It matches the Rfam family "Bacterial small subunit ribosomal RNA", at positions 28 to 506 of the family's 1533-position model. The record is from RNAcentral.